UACAGAGGGUGCGAGCGUUAAUCGGAAUUACUGGGCGUAAAGAGCGCGCAGGCGGUCGUUCAAGUCGCGUGUGAAAGCCCCCGGCUCAACUGGGGAGGGUCACGCGAUACUGUUCGACUCGAAGGCAGGAGAGGGAAGUGGAAUUCCCGGUGUAGUGGUGAAAUGCGUAGAUAUCGGGAGGAACACCAGUGGCGAAGGCGACUUCCUGGCCUGUUCUUGACGCUGAGGCGCGAAAGCUAGGGUAGCAAACGGG
RNAcentral lists this ribosomal RNA (253 nucleotides) under uncultured prokaryote. Its description in RNAcentral is "partial 16S ribosomal RNA". It matches the Rfam family "Bacterial small subunit ribosomal RNA", at positions 524 to 776 of the family's 1533-position model. The record is from RNAcentral.